UACGUAGGGUGCGAGCGUUAAUCGGAAUUACUGGGCGUAAAGCGUGCGCAGGCGGCUAUUUAAGUCAGGUGUGAAAGCCCUGGGCUUAACCUAGGAAUUGCGCUUGAGACUGGAUAGCUUGGAGUGCGGCAGAGGGAGGUGGAAUUCCACGUGUAGCAGUGAAAUGCGUAGAGAUGUGGAGGAACACCGAUGGCGAAGGCAGCCUCCUGGGCCAGCACUGACGCUCAUGCACGAAAGCGUGGGGAUCAAACAGG
RNAcentral lists this ribosomal RNA (254 nucleotides) under uncultured bacterium. Its description in RNAcentral is "partial 16S ribosomal RNA". It matches the Rfam family "Bacterial small subunit ribosomal RNA", at positions 524 to 776 of the family's 1533-position model. The record is from RNAcentral.